AUUGAACGCUGGCGGCAGGCCUAACACAUGCAAGUCGAGCGGAGCGUCGGACGGGUGAGUAAUACCUAGGAAUCUGCCUGGUAGUGGGGGAUAACGUUCGGAAACGGACGCUAAUACCGCAUACUAUCAGAUGAGCCUAGGUCGGAUUAGCUAGUUGGUGAGGUAAUGGCUCACCAAGGCUACGAUCCGCAACUGGUCUGAGAGGAUGAUCAGUCACGCUGGAACUGAGACACGGUCCAGACUCCUACGGGAGGCAGCAGUAGGGAAUAUUGGACAAUGGGCGAAAGCCUUAUCCAGCCAUGCCGCGUGAGUGAAGAAGGUCUUCGGAUGGUAAAGCACUUUAAGUAGGGAGGCGUUACCGAAAGAAUAAGCACCGGCUAACUCUGUGCCAGCAGCCGCGGUAAUAC
This 407-nucleotide ribosomal RNA is filed under the name uncultured bacterium. Its description in RNAcentral is "partial 16S ribosomal RNA". It matches the Rfam family "Bacterial small subunit ribosomal RNA", at positions 30 to 526 of the family's 1533-position model. The record is from RNAcentral.